Molecule: ribosomal RNA, 180 nt
Filed under: uncultured Glomeromycotina
Lineage: Eukaryota; Fungi; Glomeromycota
Description: partial small subunit ribosomal RNA
Rfam family: Eukaryotic small subunit ribosomal RNA (bases 84-180)
Source: RNAcentral
GCCCUGGCUGGCCGGUCCGCCUCACCGCGAGUACUGGUCCGGCUGGGGCUUUCCUUCUGGGGAACCUCAUGGCCUUCACUGGCUGUGGGGGGAACCAGGACUUUUACUGUGAAAAAAUUAGAGUGUUCAAAGCAGGCAUUUGCUCGAAUACAUUAGCAUGGAAUAAUAGAAUAGGACGUG